AUGCAUAAAUGUAUACAGAAACAGGUGGGGUCAAGCAGGGAGAGAGAAGGGGCCAGGGUAUAAAAAGGGCCCACAAGAGACUAGCUCCAGGAUCCCAAGGCCCAACUUCCGGAACCACUCAGGGUCCUGUGGACAGCUCACCUAGCUGCAAUGGCUGCAGGCUCCCAGACGUCCCUGCUCCUGGCUUUUGCCCUGCUCUGCCUGCCCUGGCUUCAAGAGGCUGGUGCCGUCCAAACCGUUCCCUUUUCCAGGCCUCUUGACCAUGCUAUGCUCCAAGCCCAUUGCGCGCACCAGCUGGCCAUUGACACCUACCAGGAGUUUAUAAGCUCUUGGGGAAUGGGUGCGGGUCAUGGGUGGCAAGAAGGGGUGACUUUCCCCCACUGGGGAAGUAAUGGGAGGAGACUAAGGAGCUCAGGGUUGUUUUCUGAAGCAAAAAUGCAGGCAGAUGAGCUUAGGCUGAGCCAGGUUCCCAGAAAAGUAACAAUGGGAGCUGGUCUCCAGCAUAGAAAGCAGCAGUCCUUCUUGGUGGGGGGUCCUUCUCCUAGGAAGAAGCCUAUAUCCCAAA
RNAcentral lists this small RNA (565 nucleotides) under Pongo abelii (Sumatran orangutan). RNAcentral describes it as "retained intron". The record is from RNAcentral. Lineage: Eukaryota; Metazoa; Chordata; Mammalia; Primates; Hominidae.